UACGGAGGGAGCUAGCGUUGUUCGGAAUUACUGGGCGUAAAGCGCACGUAGGCGGCUUUGUAAGUUAGAGGUGAAAGCCCGGGGCUCAACCCCGGAAUUGCCUUUAAGACUGCAUCGCUUGAAUCCGGGAGAGGUGAGUGGAAUUCCGAGUGUAGAGGUGAAAUUCGUAAGAUAUUCGGAAGAACACCAGUGGCGAAGGCGGCUCACUGGACCGGCAUUGACGCUGAGGUGACGAAAGCGUGGGGAGCAAACAGG
Molecule: ribosomal RNA, 255 nt
Filed under: uncultured bacterium
Lineage: Bacteria
Description: partial 16S ribosomal RNA
Rfam family: Bacterial small subunit ribosomal RNA
Source: RNAcentral